RNAcentral lists this ribosomal RNA (357 nucleotides) under uncultured bacterium. RNAcentral describes it as "partial 16S ribosomal RNA". It matches the Rfam family "Bacterial small subunit ribosomal RNA", at positions 338 to 710 of the family's 1533-position model. The record is from RNAcentral.
CCUACGGGGGGCAGCAGUGGGGAAUAUUGGGCAAUGGACGCAAGUCUGACCCAGCAACGCCGCGUGAAGGAAGAAGGCUUUCGGGUUGUAAACUUCUUUUUAGGGGGAAGAGCAGAAGACGGUACCCCUUGAAUAAGCCACGGCUAAAUACGUGCCAGCAGCCGCGGGAAUACGUAGGUGGCAAGCGUUGUCCGGAUUGACUGGGUGUAAAGGGCGUGCAGCCGGAGAGACAAGUCAGUUGUGAAAUCCACGGGCUCAACCCGUGAACUGCAUUUGAAACUGUUUCUCUUGAGUGUCGGAGAGGUAGGCGGAAUUCGUUGUGUAGCGGUGAAAUGCGUAGAUAUAAGGAAGAACACC